GAGCUGAUUAUAGACCUACUAUAUAAGAGGCCAAGACCGGAACAUCUGAAUUAAAAUAACGAUUGUUCCCUAAUACAAUACAUAGCCUAUUGCAUAUUAUGCACUUUAAUGAUUUAAGAUGUCUUUGGUACAUAAUUUGGUCUAUCCUAUUCUCCUACAUUAAAACACACACUAGUAACGGCCUUUGAAUGUGGACUGUAUUAUUAUGCAUACUGGGUGGACUGGUUAAAUGUAUAGGCUUAGGUCAUGUUGCUGCUUCAUUGAUUGUGCAAGGUGGCUUACAAUAAUUAUUACUUACUUAUAAUUAUUGUGAAUUUGUAUUUGAUUUUUAAUUAGCCUGGUAAAAAAAAGGGCUUUUUUUUUUAAUACUUUCAUAAUUAAUCGGCUGACACAUUACCUUUAAUAACUGGAGAAUAUAUCUCACCACUGUGUUUUUCCCAUCUCCUCUCUUCUUCAUUCCUUUCUCAAGGAUGUAGAGAGAGAGAGGUGCUGUCACCAGCUUCAUCCACUAUGUUUCGUUGGUUGGAGGGCCCAUACAGAGUACUGGGUAGCUGCAGGAACAAGGUUGGAGAGCCCAUACAGAGUACUGGGUAGCUGCAGGAACAAGGUUGGAGAGCCCAUACAGAGUACUGGGUAGCUGCAGGAACAAGGUUGGAGAGCCCAUACAGAAUACUGGGUAGCUGCAGGAACAAGGUAGGAGGGCCCAUACAGAGUACUGGGUAGAUGUAGGAUCAGGGUAGGAGAGCCCAUGGCAUACAGAGUACUGGGUAGAUAAACAGGGUAGAAGGGCCCAUGGCAUACAGAGUACUGGGUAGCUGCAGGAACAAGGUUGGAAGAGCCCAUGGCAUACAGAGUACUGGGUAGCUGCAGGAACAAGGUAGGAGGGCCCAUGGCAUACAGAGUACUGGGUAGCUGCAGGAACAAGGUAGGAGGGCCCAUACAGAGUACUGGGUAGAUGUAGGAUCAGGGUAGGAGAGCCCAUGGCAUACAGAGUACUGGGUAGAUGAACAGGGUAGGAGAACCCAUGGCAUACAGAGUACUGGGUAGAUGAACAGGGUAGGACGGCCCAUGGCAUACAGAGUACUGGGUAGAUGAACAGGGUAGGAGAACCCAUGGCAUACAGAGUACUGGGUAGCUGCAGGAACAGGGUAGGAGAGCCCAUGGCAUACAGAGUACUGGGUAGAUGGACAGGGUAGGAGAACCCAUGGCAUACAGAGUACUGGGUAGAUGAACAAGGUAGGAGAACCCAUGGCAUACAGAGUACUGGGUAGAUGCACUAACAAGGUAGGAGAGCCCAUACAGAGUACUGGGUAGCUGCAGGGUAGGAGAGCCCAUGGCAUACAGAGUACUGGGUAGCUGCAGGAACAGGGUAGCAGUGCCCAUACAGAGUACUGGGUAGAUGCAGGAACAGGGUAGGAGAGCACAUGGCAUACAGAGUACUGGGUAGCUGCAGGAACAAGGUAGGAGCGCCCAUGACAUACAGAGUACUGGGUAGAUGAACAGGGUAGGAG
RNAcentral lists this long non-coding RNA (1511 nucleotides) under Salmo salar (Atlantic salmon). RNAcentral's name for it is "lncRNA (ENSSSAG00000083501.1)". Lineage: Eukaryota; Metazoa; Chordata; Actinopteri; Salmoniformes; Salmonidae. The record is from RNAcentral.